This is a non-coding RNA of Osmia lignaria (orchard mason bee), 2676 nucleotides long. Lineage: Eukaryota; Metazoa; Arthropoda; Insecta; Hymenoptera; Megachilidae. The record is from RefSeq and is a predicted model, not a curated record.
CCGUUCGCCACGAAGCGUUAAGACGACCUCGUCGCUGGUACGACCAAGUGCAAGCGGCUAAUAUAUCACGUCCUCCGUGUACUCGCGCGGGUAGCCGUGCAAAAACUCAAGGAAAACCACAGUGUAAGUGGAUACGGGCGUCGUUCUUUGACGGUGACAUUUCGCUGCGAGCGUAGAAACGGAGUUUCAACGAUGAGAGAACACCUUAGGACGAGACAUCGAUACUCUGGGACGAGGAAAAAUCAUCCUGCUGCAAACUAGUCCGGCACACGUCCGUGCGAUUCGAUGCGAAAAACUACCUUUGCCAAAAACGGUUAUUUAAUCUUUCAGGAGAGAACCUCAACGGGGUCAUGGAUGUUGCAACGUGUACUUUCGAAUUUCACAUGAUUCCCUCUUGGCAAUUUAAAAUUUAACACCUCAGUAUUUUUCUACCCAAUUUUUCAGUACCCUUAGGUAGCCAGGGGUGCUGAACACUUCUUCAUGUUCAUAUUUUAGAAAUCAGUGGGAGGAUUUAAAAAGAAUAGGUCGAAUAUGGAAGGAAUGAAUCAUCCAAAUUCUGCUAUUUGAAUAGCACUUACGUAAUGCUGCGAACUGGUUACAAUGCAACUUAAACAUAUCACGUUUCUUCAGAAAUACUCAAUGAACGCGUUUCAACUUCCAUAGUGGAAAGAUGGAAAAAAAAGGAUUCAUUUAUCAUUCGUUUCUACAAAGUGAUCGAAGGCCAACGUCCAGCGAGCUAAAGAAAGCAAGCCAAGAAUGAAUGACAUUCUAACGUGUCUGACAAACACUUACGGUAAAUUAAGAGCAAUUACCCGGCCACCGGCAUACUUUAAUGAGCAUUGCCAGAAAGGGGUGGGGAGUGGAAACCGACAGGGGAAGAGAGUAUAAAGAUUAGCGGCUUUGAAACGAGUAGGCGGAGUGAAAUGAAUCACAAAAGUGAAUGACACGACGAUCAUCGAGGAAGGUUAAUUCAACUCCAGUCUCACCUCGAGGUAAACCCAUGAAAAUCCGUCGACUGAUAAAUUUUCCCAGCACCCCUAAUUAACGUGACACCUAGCGUAGAAAGUUUUCAGUGAAAUUAAAACUAGCGAUGAUCACUUCACCUUCACCUUGACUUGGAAAAAAAAAACAACUCGACCUUCCGUCGUCGUAAUUAUUGAAAAAGAAGAAGUCCGCCUAAUGAGGAAAGCAAUUAAUGAUAGAGAAAGAAGUCUCUUUAUGAAGUAACUAAUAAACGACCGGUUCUUUCAUACGAUCUACCGAGUUUAGGGUUAAUCUGCCGUUUAAUCGGUUCUCUCUUCAUAUUAAGCCAGCACUUGAAGCGGCUGUGUGUGUACCUGCUCAGACCCGUACAAAAGAACACGCUACAUACCCGACGCCGCAACGCUGAAGGUAAGAUGAACUCGCCACGAACACAGCGUCAAGCUAUUGAUUUUCCACCAGAGUCACCGUGGCGCCAAUGUUCGUGAUACAUAUUAUACAUGGGGUGGUUCUCUAAAAAAAAAAUAGUUCCCUCAAACUCCUUCAAUUUCGCAGGAAAGAAAUAAUUAAUUCCACCUUUACAAUUUUUUUAAAUUUUAAUUCCAAAGAAUAUUUUAUCAAUUCCUCUGUUUUAGACUUUAUUUAGGGUCAUAUAUAAAAAAGGAUUAAUAGUAUUUGAAUGAGUUUUUACAAGAUGAUUUCUGGUGUCUUUGUAUGAUUAUGUAAUUCAUGAUAACUUAGUAUCUCUAGUGUAGUAGUACAUGAAUACAAUUUGUGAUAAUUUAUCACUUCUGAUACGGUAUUAUUAUACAUGAUUCAUAGCUAGUUGAUAAUUGAAAAGCAAAGGGAGAGUAUAGUUUAGAUCAUGUAUAUUUCUUUUUUUCUAUUUUGAGAUUCUAAUUGGUUUAUCACACGCGAUGGUUUUAAGCAUAUAUUCGUGCAGAACUUAAUGUAAGAGGUUCAAAGAUAAAGACCCUUCAUUUGAUAAUCGAUGAUACUUAAUGUUUAGUUAGAAAGGUAUCGCUAGAAAUUAGCUAAAUUUUCUAUCGAAUCACCCGGUAUAUCUUCUUUGUACCUAUGCACGACAAUCCCGGUGAGGCAGUGACGAGCACUCUUACAAUAUUCUCGAGUGAAUGUAAAGGACUUCGUCGAAAAAGAGAAAGCUCUGGGAUGAUUUUGAAGCGUGUUAAGUUGACUGGUUGCAAUAUUCGUCGACUUUUUAUUCUAUGAACAAAAGACAAUGAAUGUAGGACGACCGGAACGCUGAAAAUGAAAAUUUAAUCAAUCUCGACGAUUUUCUUUGACGCUCUUUUAAUAAAAUGUCUUAUCACCUUCUCUCCAAUUAUAAUCAUCAAUCAAAUGCUAUUGUUUGCCAAUAUACUCCAGUCUCCUGCUGAGCAAACAAGAUAAUCAAGAGGUAACGAAUUUUGAGACAAGUGGAAUGUAGAAAACCCGAGGUGCACGGGGGGUGACCUGAUUACAGCGUCCCUGCCAAAAGGAUGCCAUCGACAAUACGACUUCAUUUGACUCGGAAGAGGGGUCCAUUGGUUAAUGAGGUUAAGAGCGAGACUAGACGAUGCAUCGACUCGGAUAUUGAGUAAACGAACUAACGACGUGUUAAAAUAGCCAGACUUACUGCUAAUUUCGAUUCAUUACUAGUCACAACCAAUUAUUCGGUGAACUUACAAAAAAAAA